Alexandromys fortis (reed vole) is the source of this 2084-nucleotide long non-coding RNA. RefSeq lists it as uncharacterized. The record is from RefSeq and is a predicted model, not a curated record. The transcript has 3 exons. NCBI's taxonomy places the organism in Eukaryota, Metazoa, Chordata, Mammalia, Rodentia, Cricetidae.
CACCUACCAGCCCUCUGAGGAGAUAACACAGUUCAGCUACGUGGCGCUUAUUGUACGCCAGGAACGGGGCGCUUUUCCCAUUUGGCCUUUUUGGGACAAGGAAAACAAGCAGCAAGAAUGAAGCUGUCCAGUGUCCCACAGAUCGCACAUAAUGCAAAAUCCAGCAGCCGGCUUCCGCAGCGUUUUUUGCCCCCCCACGGUGUCCUGCUGUUGCUUUACCUCAGCUCCCACUAACAACUAGGCAGCCACCCUUGGAGCCCAGCGUCACUGCAGGUGAACCAUUCAGCUCGUGGGAACACUUGCAAGCCCUCAUUCAUCAUCAGAACCCCUGCCGCCUGGAGCCCGUCUCUCCCUGGCCGGUUGGGCUUGAGGAAAUUAGGUGCUGUAAAAAAGGACUCUGCCGGUGCUGCCCUCCUCCUGCUCCUGGGGUUUGCGGUGGUUCAAGUUCCUGCCUAGGUUUCGGGAGUACUUCUAUUUCUGGUGGAGCUUCUGAGUUGCUGCAAUAUGAUGGAAGCCAUUUGACCUCGGCAAUGAUCCGUUUGCAGAGAAAAGUGUCUUGAGACCUAAGAGUUCUCACAGCGCCCGGAAACUCUGGCCAGCAGGAUGCUGCGUGUACACUUUAGCUGCAGGCUCUGAGCUCCGGCGGCGCUUUCUCCCUGGUGGGGGCAGGGAACACCCCUGACUGCUGCUUCUGUGCUCUCAGACCGGAGCAAGCAGCUGUGGGCUGCUUGCUAAGGUGCGCUUGCUAAGGUGCGCUUGCUAAGGUGCGCUUGCUAAGGUGCGCUGGAGUUUGUCAGCCCAGCUUUGGCCCAGGAAUAAACGCUUCACCAAGAACGGAAGAGAAUAAGGCCUCUUAGGAGGGAUGGGGGUUUGAUAACCGUACAACUACAAUCAGCGCUGAAAGGAAGUUUAUGCUUCGUACCUGCCAAGUUCUGUAAACCCCUGGGAACUUCCUUUAUUUCAUACACGCCUUAGAAACUUAGAGAUUCCAUCCAGCUUAGAAUUGCUUUUGAUCUUCCCAAUCCUCUAAGGCACUCAUGUGACAAGCAGGGAUACUGGGGCCCUGUCAACAGAAACUCUGGCCCUUUUCUGAAGGCGCUUGUGAGGACAGAAAGCUCUGACGGUAGAAAUGAAGGAGAGAGAGGGAGGGAUGGAGAGAAGGGGAUGUUUUUAAUGGCUGAACAGGGUGCUUCAUGGAGGUUCCCAGCCCGUAUCCUCCAUUUUCUCUUCUGUGGUUUCAGUUAUACCCAUUUAAAAAAAAAAAAAAACUAAAUGGAAGAUUUCAGAGAGAAGUGGAUGUCAGAAGGCCAACAAUACUCUAACGCUACAUUGCCAUCCCUGAGUCACCUCAUCACACAAAUACUGCAUGACAUCACAACACCACGCGAGCACCAGGCUCAGAGCUACAAGGGAAUGAAGGAGCGGAAUGCUUCUCAGUCCCCAUCCCUCCCUAGAACUGAUGACUGAGCACCUGCGUCCCUAAGUGUGGAAGAUUUGCAACCUAACAGGCAGCAGCCCCGGGCUCCUGUGGCCACCAACCAGCAGGAAUGAGAUAAGGAAGGAAAAUGACGAGGCCUCUGCCACCAGAUCUCCCUCUUAGCCAUCUGAAACGUUUGUAUCCCUCUAGAUAGACGCAUGUGCUCUCCUUUUUUGGCCCCCACACGGCUAAUACCACACUUGAGCACUUUUUGAGGCUCAUUUUCCUUCCCCGAGUUCUUGAACAAAGAAGAAACUGAGGAAGACCUGAGCUUUGUGUUGCAUUUUUCCUUCCCAGCAGUGACUUGGAGAUCAAUGUCAGGUGCCCCUGAAGCACAGAAGUGACGGUCACACUUCCCAUUUUGUUCUUCUCACGUGGUCCCACCCACCCCUCUCUCUCAGUGUGUCCACCCCAUGAUGCUCUUGGGAAGUGAGGUGCUGACACAUGGCAGCAUUCCAGAGUCCUGGUCACUAAUUAACAACAGAGAGCAGGGCUGCCCUUCCAUCACGGCCUGUGACCUGGGCUCCCCAGGACUCAGUGGUUUGCAUUCCCCCCGCCCUUUGCCCUCAGCUCAGCUGAUUCUGCCACGGUUUCUACAGUGUUUCUC